Molecule: long non-coding RNA, 429 nt
Filed under: Carica papaya (papaya)
Lineage: Eukaryota; Viridiplantae; Streptophyta; Magnoliopsida; Brassicales; Caricaceae
Description: long non-coding RNA (CPAP_LNC013516)
Source: RNAcentral
UUGAAGAUACUCACCACAGAUUGUCUUUCUUGGAUGGUGGCACGAUCUUGAAGCUCCCGCUAUUCUAUCUUGAAGGUACUUGAGCAUUGCCUGUCUGGGGAUGACAUAUCAUCUCUAGGUUCACCAGCAGUAGCUUUUGGUAUACCAAUGCAUCUCUUUUCAGCAUAGACCUCAUGUCCUAGAUAUAUUGCAUCUCUUUUCAGCAUAGACCUCAUGUCCUAGAUAUAUUUAACGAAUACUUCAAAUCUUCUUUGCAUCCUGUCAGAAUCUUAUGAAGGCAAUUUCUCAAAAAAUCUUAUGAGAGCUAUGCAAUUGACGUUCUUGCAAGUGUAGUGUUAUGACCAUUCAAAUUUUAUUCCGGCAGUACUGUUUAAUAUUUGUCAGGGGUUGUUCUAUUUCCGGAGGCUAUUCUUCCUCUCAGAGUUAUCC